AGUGAACGCUGGCGGCAGGCCUAAUACAUGCAAGUCGAACGGCAGCACAGUGGAGCUUGCUCCAUGGGUGGCGAGUGGCGGACGGGUGAGGAAUACAUGGGAAUCUGCCCAGUCGUGGGGGAUAACGUAUGGAAACGUACGCUAAUACCGCAUGCGCCCUUCGGGGGAAAGUCGGGGACCGCAAGGCCUGACGCGAUUGGAUGAGCCCAUGUUCGAUUAGCUAGUUGGCGGGGUAACGGCCCACCAAGGCGACGAUCGAUAGCUGGUCUGAGAGGAUGAUCAGCCACACUGGAACUGAGACACGGUCCAGACUCCUACGGGAGGCAGCAGUAGGAAUAUUGGACAAUGGGCGCAAGCCUGAUCCAGCCAUGCCGCGUGAGUGAAGAAGGCCU
Molecule: ribosomal RNA, 392 nt
Filed under: uncultured bacterium
Lineage: Bacteria
Description: bacterial SSU rRNA
Rfam family: Bacterial small subunit ribosomal RNA
Source: RNAcentral